Molecule: transfer RNA, 74 nt
Filed under: Spirochaetes bacterium GWB1_48_6
Lineage: Bacteria; Pseudomonadati; Spirochaetota
Description: tRNA-Val
Rfam family: tRNA
About the family: Transfer RNA (tRNA) molecules are approximately 80 nucleotides in length. Their secondary structure includes four short double-helical elements and three loops (D, anti-codon, and T loops).
Source: RNAcentral
AGGAUCUUAGCUCAGCUGGUUAGAGCGCCUGCUUCACACGCAGGAGGUCGUUGGUUCGAGUCCAAUAGGUCCUA